GGAGACAGUUAUGGGCGUGGCUAGAGCUGGAUGGAGGUUGAUUGACACUCCCCAACCCCCCACCUCCGAUCUCCAAGCGGAGUUUGUCGGCAGCAACAGGCACGCAUGGGGCCUGCUGGGACUCGUCUCCUGCUAUGCUUCAGCUCCUGCCCAAUCACUUACCUGUGCCAGGAGAAGCCUCUGGACAUGCCUGGGCAGCCUCUGGACAUGCACUGCUCCCAUUCCUCGCUGAGAGGGCAUCUCCCCGAGUGCCUCUCCAUCCCAGUAGACUCUCCAGAUGUGCCCAGUCCUCAACUGGUGUGGCCUCACCAGAGAGACUCAGACCAAACAGGCCUCCACAGCCUCUCUCUAGACACUUUCUGGGAAACCACAGUGGAAUACAAAAGGGCACCAACUGUUCUGAUCUCUUGAAGAGCUCCUCAGGCAACCUUCUGUUUCUAGCAAGAUGAUACACCCAAGCCUUGAUGACAAGGCUUGGCUCUCAACCUCCUUGCUCCCCACCUCCUGUGAAAUACACAAAGAAAUUCAGUGAUCAUCGGGGAUGCUCUGGUCCAAACACUACCUGCCAGCCAGACGCAGGAGAUGGAUGGCUCAGCAGUAAUCGUGCUGCUUGAGCUUGGUGUCUAAUGGGGACAGUAGUGACAGGAAGUUCACAGGGACUGGAAGACAUGAGUUCUCUGAGGGAAAGGAAGGUGAAGCCUGGUGCUUAGGACCCUCAGGAGACCAUAGGAUGUGAGAAGGCUCAAGACACCCAGAGGUGGGGUCAGAAACAGGGCAAAGGAGACCAAGCAUGGGAGAGCUGCAGUGGACGUGUACAGACAGGAGAAGCAGGCCCUAAAGAAUCCCUGAGGCGGCAGAGAGGCUGGGCUGUGGAACUUUUUAAUUACUUUGCAUUAGGGGACUGUAGAGACCCAGAAGCCCACCCUUCCCCUCCCCUCAUCAGCUUAGCCCCAACAUAUGGUGGCUACCAAAGUAGUUAAAUCGGCUCUUGGUAGAAAAGGAAAGAGAUUCCUCCCAGGCUCUUCCCAGGGUCCACGGCCACACUCCAGGAGGGCUCAACUCCAGGGCAAGGCAGCUGGGACAGCAGGCAGCUGAAGGAGGACUAUUACUGCACCUUAGGGAAGAGUGCAGUGGCGAGUGGGGAGGACUCUGCUGGGACCCGGGGGUCAUGUGCAUUCCCAUUUAGUUGAGCUCUGCUUAAUCCGGGCCUAGGCUCACAGUAAUGGGGAACGAGGAGAGGCUCCCAUCAGAGACCAAGAAGAUGACAGACUCUCUGUAAAGGCUGUCAGAGGGGUCUGCAUGACCAACCACACCUGCUCCUGUUCCUUUGGGGCUCUUGUGACCUCCCUGUCUUCUUGUGAGAUCUUAUGUUCCUCCAACCCUGAGAGCUACAAACCAAUCUCCGGAAUAAAAAAAUCUGUCCC
This 1424-nucleotide long non-coding RNA is filed under the name Mus musculus (house mouse). Its description in RNAcentral is "predicted gene 10505". The record is from RNAcentral. Lineage: Eukaryota; Metazoa; Chordata; Mammalia; Rodentia; Muridae.